UUCAGGCUCAGCCAAGGGAUGUGAUGGAUGCCAGACAGCCCUGAUGGCCAUGGUUCUCCUAGCAGGCCCCAGCACCCACACACUGAGGGCAGAGAGGACCUGUAGGAUGCCCAUUUGCAGCCAUGCAGGUCUGUAGCACUGUAAAAACCAAGCAGCCACAGCAUCCUGUGGCACAGGGCUCCCCAGUGCAACCCCACACUCUGUGCAGAUCUGCCUCUGGUUGUUUGCUUUGAACCUGCCACCUGCUACUUUUAUUUGAUGUCCCUGAAGUUCUUGUCUGAGAAGCAACAGCAUACAAUCACACUCUAAUUUGUAUUGAGA
This is a long non-coding RNA of Vidua chalybeata, 321 nucleotides long. RefSeq lists it as uncharacterized. The record is from RefSeq and is a predicted model, not a curated record. The transcript has 2 exons. NCBI's taxonomy places the organism in Eukaryota, Metazoa, Chordata, Aves, Passeriformes, Viduidae.